Long non-coding RNA from Vicia villosa (hairy vetch), 2543 nucleotides. RefSeq lists it as uncharacterized. NCBI's taxonomy places the organism in Eukaryota, Viridiplantae, Streptophyta, Magnoliopsida, Fabales, Fabaceae. The record is from RefSeq and is a predicted model, not a curated record. The transcript has 3 exons.
UCAGGUGAUGAUGAAAAUGACUUGAAACGUGUUCAUCCCACCUCCUUGGUCAUUAAAUUUCAUUUACAUUAAAUUGAUGAAAAUGACUUGAAACGUAUUCAUCCCACCUCCUAAAUCGCCGCUCUCGCUAUCGCCAUAUCUCCACCACUGCGUACAUCCGGUUCACCGUUUAUCUUCUCAGGUUCACCAAAUCGGAUUCGUAAAGUCACCUUAUCCACUGAUACCUCCGACACCAUCUCUCAGCUCUGAUCUACACCGCCGGUUUACCUGUCCCAGCAUCGACUUCUCCUUCUUCAUAUUUGCGACUCUCUCGUCUACCGUACAUCUCCUUUAACCCAUUCAACUUAUCUCCCAUCCGGUAAGAAAUCGGUUCCUUGAAGCAUAACCCUCUAUUUUUCGAUAAUGAUGUUAUUGGUUUUAUUUGUUUCACAUUGUUAAGGAUGACCUUAAGUUGCUCGGUGUGGUGUCGAAGUUUUUGGUGUUCAUGCGAUUUUGUCGGCAAAGUUGUGGGUAUCGUUUCGUGCGGUUUCUUAUGGUAACAAUGAUAUCUAAAUCAAGUUCAAGAGAGAAUUACGGUGCGAACUGUCUAGAAGGGAUGCUUUAGUGGGCUUAAAGCUGGAUAAGCCCAGGGAUGUUUUCUUAUAUUUCACAAUAGCUUUCUACGCUUUUGUCCCAAACUUGAACCCUUUUGUGGGAAUUACUAUAUUCAAUUCCACUUGUAAUUUUAUUCAAAUGAAUAUUGAUCCACUUUAAACUCAUGAAAGUAUAUAAAUUAGGUUAUAUGUUCACGGCUUCUGCAAUAUAGUCGUACCUCUUAAAAUCAAAUAUAUUUCCUUGUGUUAGAUACAAUAUUUAUACAUGUUUCUUAUCCGUGAACGUACGAUACACAUUCAUCAAAUAAGGCUUGAAUAAUAGUACUCUAACACAAUGUUACUUCUCUUUGAUGCAUCAAAUAAGGCUUGAAUAAUAGUACUCUAACACAAUGUUACUUCUCUUUGAUGCAGUGUAAGCGAAGUCGCGAUAGAAGACUAGAAAUGAAUGUGUGGCAUGAUUUACCCAAUGUAUACACGGUGACUGGGUUUAUAGAAACGAUGGAUGAAACAAAGAACUCUACAUGAAAGAAAGGUGGUUGAAGUUCUUAACCCUCUAGCUCGUGAAUUCAAGUCAGUUGACACGUGAAAUAUAAUCUAGCUUGACUACAAGACGAGUUAGCAGAUGCACAUAGACAGGUAAAUAAAUAACUACAAGCAACACCGGACUAGCCACGAAAAACUUCGAACUUAAAUUUCUUUGUGAAUAUAAUGUAAGAUGAUGAAUUACCGCAGGUUCAUAUAUUUGAAGCAAUAGUUUCCACUGCUUUAGAUAAACUAGCUUACAUGGAAGAAGAGCUUGAAUAAUGUUUUAGGUCCAGUUCAGUCAUACCAUCCUAAUUUAAAGAAUUUCUGGUAUCCUGUUGCAUUCUCUAAUGGCUUAAAGGAUGAUACCAUGGUAAGUCAGUAGAAGUGAUUUUAUUAAAAAAUAGAUUUUAGAAUAUUUUUUAUGACUAACUUAAACUUAUAAAAUCAACCUAAUUUGAAUGUGAAUUCUCAUAUGAGAACACAUGGAAAAGCUCACAGUGGGGAAAGUAUAACCACUUUGUUUGCUAUGAUUCUAAGUGGCAUGUAAGCAUCAUUGGAGCACUACAAUUUAUUUGUGUUCAAAGUAAGACCAAUCCAAAGAAUGCCAGUACUUUUGUAUUUGUAUGUGGUAUCAUAGUUUAUUUAAAUUUAGUAUGUGGUUGAUUUUUCAUUAAUUGACUAUUUCAUUCAGUUUUUGUCAAAUAGAUGUAAAGCAUCUAAAUGUUGAUAGUGAAAAUCCAGUUACGGUGAUAUCAGAAAUUGUUAUUACAAUUGGAGCCAGUAGCGAACAGGGAGUUGGUGUAUUGGUCCCUCUGUGUCAAAGGAAGCUGAGUAGCUUGUGUUUGUGAUUGCAAGUUUCGGAGGAUGCUUCAUAUAAUCCUUUGCCCUUGAUUCCCGUCAAGGAAUCUGCAACUAUUAACGAAUCUGGUGAACCUGAGAUACAACACUAUGAUCUACCAGAAACGGCAUUGUUGAAGGUUCUUGUGAGAAUAACUACUUUAAGUUUUGCUUGAACAAUUGUAUCUUGAUAUGGAAUAUGUUUAUGGAAACUUAGCUCAUUUUUAAUGUUAUAGAUUAUAACUAGCAUAACUAGCAUACACUUGCAUCAGGUUUGAUUUAGGAUCUUCUGGAGUUAUGUUUUUAAUAUACCAGAAAUAUCAAUAAACCUCAAAGAUGGUUGGCAUGCCUUUGCAUGCACCGAGAGAGAAUUGCGUUUGGAGGCUUGAUUAGAAGAGUGAGUGGAACAUGGCUAGCUGACUGGUUUCAGUGGUUAUAUUGACACUCAUUUGAUGUAUUUUUAUUGACCAUUUGAUCAUAUUUUGUAAUGCAAUGAAAGACAAGUUCUGAUAUCUCUUUUUUAUGACUUUUAAUUCAUAAAAUUCCACCAGACAUUAAUGAGUUCAUAUUAUUGAUUUUAAUACAUAA